UAAUCAGCAUUAGGGUUUCAAACCCUAAACUAAACUUUUCCCAUUCAGCCAGCAUUAGGGUUUUAAACCCUAAACUGAGCUUUUCCAUGCAGUCAGCAUUAGGGUUUUAAACCUAAACUGAACUUUUCCAUGCAAGCAACAUUAGGGUUUUAAACCCUAAACUGACCUUUUUCCUUUAAUCAGUAUUAGGGUUUUAAACCCUAAACUGAACUUUUUUCCAUUCAGCCAGCAUUAGGGUUUUUAACCUUAAACUGAACUUUUUUCUCUUAAUCGGCAUUAUGGUUUUAAACCCUAAACUGAACUUUCCCCCAGUUGGUCAGUAUUAGAGUUUCAACUCUAAAACCAAACUUCUCCCCAGCUAGUCGGUAUUAGGGCCCCAACCCUGAACUGAGCAUGCAUAUCGUCUUUCAUCAAUUUUAUGAACUUCCUGGCUAAUAAUUCACGAAAUUUUCCUAGUGAAACUGGGGCAGAAAAUUUCGUUCGCAGGUCUAACCUCGAGCCACACGGAUCGAAACGACCCACGAAGUGAGUCUCAACUCAAAAUCAAAAAAAAAAAGAAAAGAAAAAGACAAAAAGAAGAUGUCCCGAGAUAUCGGAGUUAAAUGGAAUGCGGAUCGACGCCAACAUUGGAUUAAGAUUCAAAACUCUGCCAGUCACGCCUCACUCAGCAUCCCAGAGAAUAAGCAAGCACCUACAACUCACCAGCAUCAAGAUUCGGAUCGAAGUCUCCAAGCAAAAUCAGCUAAGAUCCAUGAUCAAGUCGCAAAAGAAUCAUAGAUAGGGAUCUUGUAACUAGCAGUUGACAUGCAUAUAAGUAUUUAAGUUCAGUUUCAAUUUUUCUUUGGUUGUAAUAAGGCGGUCAGUAAAGCAGUGGUGAUUACAGCAAC
RNAcentral lists this long non-coding RNA (887 nucleotides) under Nicotiana tabacum (common tobacco). RNAcentral describes it as "long non-coding RNA (NTAB_LNC007500)". The record is from RNAcentral. Lineage: Eukaryota; Viridiplantae; Streptophyta; Magnoliopsida; Solanales; Solanaceae.